UGGGGGAUAUUGCACAAUGGGCGAAAGCCUGAUGCAGCGACGCCGCGUGGGGGAUGAAGGCCUUCGGGUUGUAAACUUCUUUUGCUCUGAACAAGGCGCACCAUGGGGUGUGUUGAGUGUAGGGGUUGAUUAGCGCCGGCUAACUACGUGCCAGCAGCCGCGGUAAUACGUAGGGCGCGAGCGUUGUCCGGCAUUAUUGGGCGUUAAGGGCUUGUCGGUGGCUGGUUGCGUCUGUCGUGAAAGCUCAUGGCUUAACUGUGGGUUUGGGGUGGGUACGGGAUGGCUUGAGUGCAGUAGGGGAGGCUGGAAUUCCUGGUGUAGCGGUGGAAUGCGCAGAUAGCAGGAGGAAUACCGGUGGCGAAGGGGGGUCUCUGGGCUGUUACUGACACUGAGGAGCGAAAGCAUGGGGAGCGAACAGG
This 419-nucleotide ribosomal RNA is filed under the name bacterium. RNAcentral describes it as "partial 16S ribosomal RNA". It matches the Rfam family "Bacterial small subunit ribosomal RNA", at positions 355 to 776 of the family's 1533-position model. The record is from RNAcentral.